GCGCUCGUUUCAGCAGCACGUAUGGUAAAACUGGAACGAUACAGAGAAGAUGAGCGUGGCCCUGCGCAAGGAUGACACGCCAAUUCGUGAAGCGUUCUGUAUUUGU
Small nuclear RNA from Ursus americanus (American black bear), 106 nucleotides. The record is from Ensembl. NCBI's taxonomy places the organism in Eukaryota, Metazoa, Chordata, Mammalia, Carnivora, Ursidae.